GCCCCAGUGGCCUAAUGGAUAAGGCACUGGCCUCCUUUGCCAGGGAUUGUGGGUUCAAGUCCCAUCUGGGGUG
RNAcentral lists this transfer RNA (73 nucleotides) under Perca flavescens (yellow perch). It matches the Rfam family "tRNA". Rfam says of the family: Transfer RNA (tRNA) molecules are approximately 80 nucleotides in length. Their secondary structure includes four short double-helical elements and three loops (D, anti-codon, and T loops). The record is from Rfam by way of RNAcentral. Lineage: Eukaryota; Metazoa; Chordata; Actinopteri; Perciformes; Percidae.